This is a long non-coding RNA of Monopterus albus (swamp eel), 407 nucleotides long. RefSeq lists it as uncharacterized. The transcript is spliced from 3 exons. Lineage: Eukaryota; Metazoa; Chordata; Actinopteri; Synbranchiformes; Synbranchidae. The record is from RefSeq and is a predicted model, not a curated record.
GCAGCCAUCUGCGGCUCCAACUCGUACCAAUGGCUCUGACCAUUGGGGGCAACUUGGGGGUUCAGUGUCUUGUACAGGGACACUUCAACACGUGGACUGCAGGCACUGUGAUUCGAAACUGCAACCCUCCAAUUGGGAGAUGACUGUUCUACCCACUGAACCACAGAGCCACUGAAGCUGUUACAGCAGUAGUGGGAGGGCGCUGCAGAAGGUGGCUGCUUCUUCAGAAUCUCAAGUUCCUCGGAAGCCUGUCAAAGCAUGUGCUCUCCUGCCUUUGCGGCAGCUCCAGCCCUUCCAUGGAAAUGGGAAAGGAAAGGGCUCAUCAAGAACUCAUCUCCCAGGGAAAUGUUUCCCUUUAUCCUGAGCCAACAUUAAAUAUCACCAUGUGAUUGAUAUUAUAAAUCAUA